RNAcentral lists this ribosomal RNA (87 nucleotides) under Balneola sp. The record is from RNAcentral. Lineage: Bacteria; Pseudomonadati; Balneolota; Balneolia; Balneolales; Balneolaceae.
UUCCACCCGUUCCCAUCCCGAACACGGACGUUAAGCCCUGCAGCGCCGAUGGUACUGCACACGCGGUAGAGUAGGUCGUCGCCUUCU